ACGGGAGGCAGCAGUGAGGAAUAUUGGUCAAUGGGCGGAAGCCUGAACCAGCCAAGUCGCGUGAAGGAAGACGGUAUUAUGUAUUGUAAACUUCUUUAGACGCAGAGAAAUAAUCGCCUCGUGAGGUGAGAUGCUAGUAUGCGUAGAAUAAGGAUCGGCUAACUCCGUGCCAGCAGCCGCGGUAAUACGGAGGAUCCGAGCGUUAUCCGGAUUUAUUGGGUUUAAAGGGUGCGCAGGCGGCGCUUUAAGUCAGUGGUCAAAUCGUGAGGCUCAACCUCAUCCCGCCAUUGAUACUGGAGCGCUUGAUUGCGGUUGAGGUAGGCGGAAUUCGUCGUGUAGCGGUGAAAUGCAUAGAUAUGACGAAGAACACCGAUUGCGUAGGCAGCUGACCAGGCCGUAAAUGACGCUCAUGCACGAAAGUGCGGGGAUCGAACAGGAUUAGAUACCCUGGUA
Molecule: ribosomal RNA, 453 nt
Filed under: uncultured Porphyromonadaceae bacterium
Lineage: Bacteria; Pseudomonadati; Bacteroidota; Bacteroidia; Bacteroidales; Porphyromonadaceae
Description: partial 16S ribosomal RNA
Rfam family: Bacterial small subunit ribosomal RNA
Source: RNAcentral